AAUGAACGCUGGCGGCGCGCCUAAUACAUGCAAGUCGAGCGAGAAGACGUAGCAAUACGUUUGUAAAGCGGCGAACGGGUGAGGAAUACAUGGGUAACCUACCCUCGAGUGGGGAAUAACUAGCCGAAAGGUUAGCUAAUACCGCGUACGCUUCUUGGACUUCGGUUCAGGGAGGAAAGCGAUACCGUGGGUAUCGCGCUCUUGGAUGGGCUCAUGUCCUAUCAGCUUGUUGGGAGGUAACGGCUCACCAAGGCUUCGACGGGUAGCUGGUCUGAGAGGACGAUCAGCCACACUGGCACUGCGACACGGGCCAGACUCCUACGGGAGGCAGCAGUAAGGAAUAUUGCGCAAUGGGCAAAGCCUGACGCAGCGACGCCGCGUGGGGGAUGAAGGUCUUCGGAUUGUAAACCCC
RNAcentral lists this ribosomal RNA (412 nucleotides) under uncultured bacterium. RNAcentral describes it as "bacterial SSU rRNA". It matches the Rfam family "Bacterial small subunit ribosomal RNA", at positions 29 to 433 of the family's 1533-position model. The record is from RNAcentral.